AGAGAGGAGUUGUGUAAAAGGGGCUGAAGUCCUGCGCUGCGUCCUACACUGCUGCUGCGCUGCUAAGAAAAGUAGGCUGACCACCAGCAGAUAUAAAAAAAGCUGCCAGACCGUAUCGUGGACGUAAAACAAACAAACAGGCAGCGACACACCCUGGUAAUGGUCCACGACUCCGCCGGAGUAGUGGGCGAGGCAGCCUGAACUCCGCUGCACCGUCCUGAUGGUUGGCCGCGCAGGAGCAACUCGGCCGGUGGUCAAGGAAUACGUGCACAUAAAGCAGACCAAGGAAGGAGGAGUCACCAUUUGUGCUUUAAAGCUGGCUGUCCGUUACUCCAGGGUGUCUCUCACGCUCUCUGGCUGACACCCAGCGCUCCCUCACCCUUGGCCCCAAAUGGCUGACACACAGCAGUUCUUCACUGGCAAGCUUUAUGUUCCUGUACACAUGCUAAAGCUGCCAGCUGAAGAACUGCUCUGGUCAGCCCUGCCCCGGAUGACUCAAGAAGAGGAAGUUGAUGGGGGUUGCUGGGAAGAGGACUGAGAGGCUGUUUCACGCACUCUGUAGUCAGACUGGACUUUAAUAGCCGGAAAGAUUUGAGCCACCAUUGUUUAUAUUCCUGUGUUAAUCACAUACAAGGUAUAUUUGACUUUAGGCAAUACAGAAUUCUUAUGUUGUGGUCUUUUUCUCACAGAAACCUGCAUACAUUUUGUGCAUGAUGUUUUUUUUUUUUCCUACAAUAAAGAACAAUAUUUUCUCAAA
Perca flavescens (yellow perch) is the source of this 757-nucleotide long non-coding RNA. RefSeq lists it as uncharacterized. The record is from RefSeq and is a predicted model, not a curated record. The transcript has 2 exons. NCBI's taxonomy places the organism in Eukaryota, Metazoa, Chordata, Actinopteri, Perciformes, Percidae.